AUCCGCCCUGGCCCGCGGCCCGCCCGCUCCGGAGGGUUCGGAGCGGGGGAGGCCGACUGCGCUCCGCUCGCGGCGCCGCGCCGCCCAUCAUUUGUGAAGUGAUCCUGCUCGCCGGACGGGUGGUGGCAUAAUAUCUUCGGGGCGGGGAGGCGCAUCAGGGGGGUUGGCAGGAGACUGUCAACCCUCCCGCGGUGUAGCUGUUCACAGCCCGCCCAGAUUCGGGGCGGAGGUUUGGGGUCGUUCAGGCCCCGGCCUGCGACCUCCGGGAGGAAGGGGGCUCAUAGUUCUUUAGGGUCCGCGGAGCCCGCCAUCCUCCCGGCCGCGGGGCGUGGCCCGGGCCGGGCUGGGCACAGGGCGCCCCUGGGGCCCGUCGGCCGCACUGCCCCGAGCCCGGCCCGUGGCGCAGCAGCCUCGCCCCGCACGUGCCGCAGCUCAGGCGCGGCGCCGACCAGGCCAGCUGGCCGCGGGCAGCAGCCGCGGGAGACUCCGGAAGCCCGGCCGGAGCAGGAUGGAGCGCCGACGGGACCCAGGCUGAAAGGGAAGCUCUGCAGGUUGUCCUGAUGUGCGGACGCGAUGGAGGCGACUCUGAGCAGCUCCAGAGAGCAAGCCUUGGCCUCUGACUGUCAAACCUCCGCGGAAAUGGUCUCUAAAGGAAGAAGUCUCCCGACUCUUUACAAAAAUGUAAAACCACCUAGGAAAGGAAGCAUCCACGUGGAUGGGGAGAAACAAUUGAAAAUAAUAGCUACACAGCAUUCAAGGGCACUUCUACUUUUGGACCUCAGAGCAAAUGAGAAGGCGAAAGUUCGGACUUGAAGACCCGUCUGUACAGUUAGGCGAGCAAGGACCAUACUUGGAGAACCAUGCUAUAGAACAUCAGAGAGAGAAGACAGUGGGAUCAUUUGGGGAUGGAAGAGAGAGAGUUUUCUAAAGGAAGAAUUGCUGGAAAGAACAACAACAACAAAGGGCCCACUCUACCACUCUACUCACUGGUUAAGACUUCAUCGCCUCCUGAUGCAGAAGCAACAGAACAGAUUUUUCUUCAGUAUUUGAAGCUGAAGAGCUUUUGUCAAGAUAUGCAACCUCUUUGAACUUCUGUUUCCUGUUCUGUAUAAAUAGGAGUAAUAAUAAAGCCAACUUCUGUGCAUUGCUCUUAGGAGUUAAUGAAAUAACAUACCAAUGGUAUAGCAGCAUUCACCUCAGUGUUUCGUCCUCAAAUAAAUGAUUAUUG
Molecule: long non-coding RNA, 1228 nt
Filed under: Equus caballus (horse)
Lineage: Eukaryota; Metazoa; Chordata; Mammalia; Perissodactyla; Equidae
Description: lncRNA (ENSECAG00000035336.3)
Source: RNAcentral